RNAcentral lists this ribosomal RNA (484 nucleotides) under uncultured bacterium. Its description in RNAcentral is "partial 16S ribosomal RNA". It matches the Rfam family "Bacterial small subunit ribosomal RNA", at positions 30 to 507 of the family's 1533-position model. The record is from RNAcentral.
AUUGAACGCUGGCGGCAGGCCUAACACAUGCAAGUCGAGCGGAUGAAGGGAGCUUGCUCCUGGAUUCAGCGGCGGACGGGUGAGUAAUGCCUAGGAAUCUGCCUGGUAGUGGGGGAUAACGUCCGGAAACGGGCGCUAAUACCGCAUACGUCCUGAGGGAGAAAGUGGGGGAUCUUCGGACCUCACGCUAUCAGAUGAGCCUAGGUCGGAUUAGCUAGUUGGUGGGGUAAAGGCCUACCAAGGCGACGAUCCGUAACUGGUCUGAGAGGAUGAUCAGUCACACUGGAACUGAGACACGGUCCAGACUCCUACGGGAGGCAGCAGUGGGGAAUAUUGGACAAUGGGCGAAAGCCUGAUCCAGCCAUGCCGCGUGUGUGAAGAAGGUCUUCGGAUUGUAAAGCACUUUAAGUUGGGAGGAAGAGCAGUAAGUUAAUACCUGGCUGUUUUGACGGUACCAACAGAAUAAGCACCGGCUAACUUCGUG